RNAcentral lists this non-coding RNA (1024 nucleotides) under Perkinsus marinus ATCC 50983. RNAcentral describes it as "Eukaryotic large subunit ribosomal RNA". It matches the Rfam family "Eukaryotic large subunit ribosomal RNA", at positions 932 to 1954 of the family's 3401-position model. The record is from Rfam by way of RNAcentral. Lineage: Eukaryota; Perkinsozoa; Perkinsida; Perkinsidae.
UAAUCGAACAUCUAGUAGCUGGUUCCCUCCGAAGUUUCCCUCAGGAUAGCUAGAGUCUUUAUCAGUUUUGUCAGGUAAAGCGAAUGAUUAGAGGUUCCGGGGAAGUAACUUCCUCGACCUAUUCUCAAACUUUAAAUGGGCAAGAUCCAGUAGUUACUUAAUUGAACUAUUGGGGUCAAUGAGACGACUCUAAGUGGGCCAUUUUUGGUAAGCAGAACUGGCGAUGAGGGAUGAACCUAACGCUCGGUUAAGGUGCUAAACUGCUCGCUCAUCAGAUACCACAAAGGGUGUUGGUCGAUCUUAACAGCAGGACGGUGGUCAUGGAAGUCGAAAUCCGCUAAGGAGUGUGUAACAACUCACCUGCCGAAUCGACUAGCCCCGAAAAUGGAUAGCGCUGAAGCGAGUGACCGAUACCGGGCCAUUGUUGCAAGAUAAUUGGCAACAAUGAGUAGGAGGGCGUGGGGGUUGUGAAGAAGCUUGGACGUGAGUCUGAGUGAAACAGCUUCCAGUGCAGAUCUUGGUGGUAGUAGCAAGUAUUCAAUAAGAGAACAUUGAAGGCCGAAGUGGGGAAGGGUUCCAUGUGAACAGCACUUGGACAUGGGUUAGCCGAUCCUGAGAGACAGGUUAAAUUCCAUCGGAUUGGAGCUUUGGCUCUGUUUCUCGAAAGGGAAGCUGGUUAGUAUUCCAGCGCCGAGACGUGGAUAAUAUGUGGCAACACAAGUGAACUCGGACACGCCAUAGGGGACCCCAGGAAGCGUUGUCUUUUCUUUUUAACAGUUCGACUUACCCUGGAAUCAGAUCAUCUGGAGAUAGGGUUUUCGAACUGGAAUAGCACCUUGUCUAACAGGGUGUCUGGAGUGUUCUCGCUGGCCCCUUGAAAAUCCGAGGGAUAGAUUUAUUCGCACUCUCGAUCGUACCCAUAACCGCAUCAGGUCUCCAAGGUUAGAAGCUUCUGGUCCGUAGGGACAAGUAGAUAAGGGAAGUCGGGCAAAUAGGUCCCGUACUUCCGGAAAAGGACUGGCUC